AGAUCCAAACUCUUGACGAAGUUGUUGUGUUCUUGAGCGUAUUAUUUUUACUCAUAUCUACUGUAUAAAGAGAGUCUUGUCUUGAGUGCUAAGUGUUUGUACACACUUGAAGGGAUAUUCUAAUCCCUUGUUGUAAGAAGGAAAAGUAGUUCCAUGGUUUGAAGUCUUGAGGUGCGGUAUCCUCGAGCAGGUUGAAGUCUUGUAGAGUGUAUAUCUACGAGCAAGUGUAACGGUU
RNAcentral lists this long non-coding RNA (235 nucleotides) under Nicotiana benthamiana. RNAcentral describes it as "long non-coding RNA (NBEN_LNC015535)". Lineage: Eukaryota; Viridiplantae; Streptophyta; Magnoliopsida; Solanales; Solanaceae. The record is from RNAcentral.